UUCAAUUUUUGAAGUUUCUCUAGCUUUUUUGUUGGGUGAAAUCAGUAUAAGAAGCUCUUUCUUCUUUAAAAAUUAGUAGGAACUAAAAAACUUUGAUUUAAAACCAGGAUUAGAUACCCUGUUAUUCUCAGUUAUUCUUAAACAGGGUAGUAAAAGUUGUUCUUCAAACCCAAAGAUUUUGGCGGCACUUUAUCCAAAUAGAGGAGCUUGUCCCUUAAUCGAUAGUCCUCGUUUUAUCUUUCCUUCAUUUGUAAAGCUUGUAUACCGCCGUUGUCAGAUUACUUUUAGAGAAUGUUUUCAAGUUAAAAGACUUUAUAACUUCAGGUCAAGGUGCAGUUUAUAUGGGGGUGGAGGUGAGCUACAGUUUUCUUUAGAAAAUACGGAUUCUAAGCUUUGAGGCUAGCUGAAGGUGGAUUUACUAGUAAAGUAA
Molecule: ribosomal RNA, 430 nt
Filed under: Daphnia galeata
Lineage: Eukaryota; Metazoa; Arthropoda; Branchiopoda; Diplostraca; Daphniidae
Description: partial 12S rRNA
Source: RNAcentral